Molecule: long non-coding RNA, 227 nt
Filed under: Lathyrus oleraceus (garden pea)
Lineage: Eukaryota; Viridiplantae; Streptophyta; Magnoliopsida; Fabales; Fabaceae
Description: Pisum sativum (pea) long non-coding RNA (PSAT_LNC019546)
Source: RNAcentral
UUAACUAUUUCGACUCCUUCAGCAACUACAUGCUUCAACUACAUGCUUCGAUAGACUAUAUUUGACUUUAUAUCAAAUACAACAAAUACAGACUCUGUUCGACACAAACUAAUUUCGACACCUGUCGAAUACAAACACAUCAUUUCAACUUCAACACAAAGAGUUACAUAUUUAACAAGUCUUAUCUUCUUCCUCUUUCUUUUCUUUUUUCUUUUUUUUAUUUAAAU